This 1605-nucleotide ribosomal RNA is filed under the name Triticum aestivum (bread wheat). RNAcentral's name for it is "partial small subunit ribosomal RNA". The record is from RNAcentral. Lineage: Eukaryota; Viridiplantae; Streptophyta; Magnoliopsida; Poales; Poaceae.
AUGGCUGGAAUCCCACCGCGAGAAUCAAUGGCUUCUCAAGAUGGAGACGAAAGCUCGGCUGCGGCUGGUGCAGGGAAUUUUACCUCAGCUGAUCCUUCGUCUCAACGUGCUACACCAAUAUCUUUAGCUACUCCGAUAUCUCAAGCUGCUACUCCAACAUCUCAAUCUGCUACUGUAACAUCUCAAGCUACAUCUAGCAGAGCUGGUUCUAAGAGGAAGCGAACAUCGGCAGUAUGGGAUGAGAUGGAAGAGAAAUUAGAAAAUGGGCAACUGAAAGCCGAGUGCAAUCAUCGUCACAGAAAAUUUACUGCAGGACCUAGAGCUGGCACAACUCACUUGCGUGUACAUUUGGAAUCUUGUCCUGCUAAGCAUGCACCCAUUGGUCCACAACAACAAAAACUGAGGUUGACCAAAGGUGAAGGUGGCAAAGUGAAUAUGGAAAAUGUCAUUUUUGACCAAGAGAAGGCUAGGAGAGAUCUUGCAUUGAUGAUAUGUGAACAUGAGUAUCCUCUAUCUAUUGUGGAUCAUAGUGGUUUUCGUAGAUUUUGUUCUUCUUUGCAGCCGAUGUUUAAGAUGGUGUGCAGAAAUACUAUUAGGAAUGAUAUUGUGGCUAUGCAUUCUGCUCAAAAGGAGAAGAUGGUGAAUUUUUUUGCAACAUUCAAGCACCGAGUGGCUGUCACUACAGAUUUGUGGACAGCGGGCUAUCAAAAGAGAGGUUACAUGGCUGUUACCGCGCACUAUAUAGAUGAUUCUUGGAACCUAAAGAGCUUUCUUAUGAGGUUUGCUUAUGUGCCCUGUCCACAUUCAGCUGAGGUUAUAUGUGAAGCCUUGUAUGAAUGUCUUGUUGAGUGGCACCUUGAGAGGAAGAUCUCCACCGUCACUUUGGACAACUGCACAUCAAAUGACAAGGCUAUGGGAAUAUUGCCAGAUAAGUUGGAUACAAGCUCUCUCAUGCUGGAUGGUCAAUUACUGCAUAUGCGUUGUGCUGCUCACAUAUUAAACUUAAUUGUAAAGGAUGGAAUGAGUGUCUUAGAGAAAGGUAUAGAGUGGUUGCGAGACAGUGUUGCAUUUUGGUCGGCCACACCUAAAAGGCAUGAGAAGUUUGAAAAGAUGGCAAAAACUUUAAACAUAGAGUAUAACAAAAGGUUAACUCUUGAUUGUAAGACUAGAUGGAAUUCAAGUUAUAUCAUGAUUAGCAUUGCAGUACGAUACAUAGAGAUAUUUGAAAAAUUAAAGGCACGUGAAAAGAAGUUUAAGUGUUGCCCAACCAAAGAUGAUUGGAAGUUUGCAAAAGAAAUAUGUGAUAGGCUGAAGCUCUUCUUUGAUAUCACCAAGUCAUUCUCGGGCACGAAGUAUGUCACAGCAAAUCUUUUUUUCCCUAAAGUGAUUACCAUUCGCUUAGCCAUAAGGAAAUGGGGUAAGAGUGACAUUGAGCUUAUACAAAAAAUGUCCGGGGAAAUGAAGGAUAAGUUUGAGAAGUAUUGGAAAGAUAUCCAUGGUCUUAUGUCUGUUGCAACAGUUCUUGAUCCAAGGUAUAAACUUCAUAUCCUCAAUGCUCUUUAUGGUCCCCUCUAUGGAAGAGAGCAUGCAGCCACAGGAAGGUGA